AUUGAACGCUGGCGGAAUGCUUUACACAUGCAAGUCGAACGGCAGCACGGGGCAACCUGGUGGCGAGUGGCGAACGGGUGAGUAAUACAUCGGAACGUGCCCAAUCGUGGGGGAUAACGUAGCGAAAGUUACGCUAAUACCGCAUACGAUCUACGGAUGAAAGCGGGGGAUCGCAAGACCUCGCGCGAAUGGAGCGGCCGAUGUCAGAUUAGGUAGUUGGUGGGGUAAAGGCUCACCAAGCCGACGAUCUGUAGCUGGUCUGAGAGGACGACCAGCCACACUGGGACUGAGACACGGCCCAGACUCCUACGGGAGGCAGCAGUGGGGAAUUUUGGACAAUGGGGGCAACCCUGAUCCAGCCAUUCCGCGUGAGUGAAGAAGG
Molecule: ribosomal RNA, 382 nt
Filed under: uncultured bacterium
Lineage: Bacteria
Description: bacterial SSU rRNA
Rfam family: Bacterial small subunit ribosomal RNA
Source: RNAcentral